Molecule: small RNA, 29 nt
Filed under: Bombyx mori (domestic silkworm)
Lineage: Eukaryota; Metazoa; Arthropoda; Insecta; Lepidoptera; Bombycidae
Description: ovarian small RNA-23447
Source: RNAcentral
UAUAUGUCUGUCUGACCCUGUAUAGGGGG